This 467-nucleotide ribosomal RNA is filed under the name uncultured bacterium. Its description in RNAcentral is "partial 16S ribosomal RNA". It matches the Rfam family "Bacterial small subunit ribosomal RNA", at positions 29 to 507 of the family's 1533-position model. The record is from RNAcentral.
AACGAACGCUGGCGGCAUGCUUAACACAUGCAAGUCGAACGAUGACGAACUAGCUUGCUCGGUCUGAUUAGUGGCGAACGGGUGAGUAACACGUGAGCAACCUGCCCUUCACUCUGGUAUAGCCUCGGGAAAUCGGAGCUAAUACCGGAUAUGAGCUCCUGUCGCAUGGCGGGUGUGGGAAAGUUUUUCGUUGAAGGAUGGGCUCGCGGCCUAUCAGUUUGUUGGUUAGGUAGUGGCUCACCAAGGCGAUGACGGGUAGCCGGCCUGAGAGGGCGAACGGCAACACGGGGACUGGGACACGGCCCAGAAUCAUACGGGAGGCAGCAGUGGGGAAUAUUGCACAAUGGGAGAAAGCCUGAUGAAGAGACGCCGCGUGAGGGAUGACGGCUUUCGGGUUGUAAAACUCUUUCGGCAGGGAAGAAGCGAAAGUGACGGUACCUGAAGAAGAAGCGCCGGCUAACUACGUG